CAGCCGCCGCGGUAAUACGUAGGUGGCAAGCGCUGUCCGGAAUUAUUGGGCGUAAAGGGCUCGCAGGCGGUUUCUUAAGUCUGAUGUGAAAGCCCCCGGCUCAACCGGGGAGGGUCAUUGGAAACUGGGAAACUUGAGUGCAGAAGAGGAGAGUGGAAUUCCACGUGUAGCGGUGAAAUGCGUAGAGAUGUGGAGGAACACCAGUGGCGAAGGCGACUCUCUGGUCUGUAACUGACGCUGAGGAGCGAAAGCGUGGGGAGCGAACAGGAUUAGAUACCCCAGUAGUCCCUGUCUCUUAUAC
RNAcentral lists this ribosomal RNA (301 nucleotides) under uncultured bacterium. Its description in RNAcentral is "partial 16S ribosomal RNA". It matches the Rfam family "Bacterial small subunit ribosomal RNA", at positions 509 to 807 of the family's 1533-position model. The record is from RNAcentral.